Molecule: ribosomal RNA, 253 nt
Filed under: uncultured bacterium
Lineage: Bacteria
Description: partial 16S ribosomal RNA
Rfam family: Bacterial small subunit ribosomal RNA
Source: RNAcentral
UACGGGGGGGGCAAGCGUUGUUCGGAAUUACUGGGCGUAAAGGGCUCGUAGGCGGCCAACUAAGUCAGACGUGAAAUCCCUCGGCUUAACCGGGGAACUGCGUCUGAUACUGGAUGGCUUGAGGUUGGGAGAGGGAUGCGGAAUUCCGGGUGUAGCGGUGGAAUGCGUAGAGAUCCGGAAGAACACCGGUGGCGAAGGCGGCCUGCUGGGCAGUAGCUGACGCUGAUGCGCGACAGCGUGGGGAGCAAACAGG